GGUUAAGUCCCGCAACGAGCGCAACCCCUGUUGUUAGUUGCCAGCAUUCAGUUGGGCACUCUAACAAGACUGCCGACCUUUAAGUCGGAGGAAGGUGGGGAUGACGUCAAGUCAUCAUGGCCCUUAUGUCCAGGGCUACAAACGUGCUACAAUGGUCGAUACAAAGGGUCGCGAACCCGCGAGGGGGAGCCAAUCUCAAAAAGUCGACCUCAGUACAGAUAGGAGUCUGCAACUCGACUCCUUGAAGUCGGAAUCGCUAGUAAUCGCUGAUCAGCAUGGCAGCGGUGAAUACGUUCCCGGGCCUUGUACACACCGCCCGUCACACCAUGGGAGUCGAUUGCUCCAGAAGUGCCUGAGCCAACCGCAAGGAGGCAGGGCCCCAAGGAGUGAUCGGUAACUGGGGUGAAGUCGUAACAAGGUAGCCGUAGGGGAACCUGCGGCUGGAUCACCUCCUU
RNAcentral lists this ribosomal RNA (455 nucleotides) under uncultured bacterium. Its description in RNAcentral is "bacterial SSU rRNA". It matches the Rfam family "Bacterial small subunit ribosomal RNA", at positions 1078 to 1532 of the family's 1533-position model. The record is from RNAcentral.